RNAcentral lists this long non-coding RNA (321 nucleotides) under Sus scrofa (pig). Its description in RNAcentral is "lncRNA (ENSSSCG00060060077.1)". The record is from RNAcentral. Lineage: Eukaryota; Metazoa; Chordata; Mammalia; Artiodactyla; Suidae.
CAAAUUUUGAAGUUACUCAUUUUGAUGUGCCAUAAAUAGUGUGGAAGUGGACCACUAUGAGAGUGACAAUUAAGGUACUGUGCCCAGACUAAUUAUGUCCCUUGGUCUGUCAUCACUGUCAUUGGUGGGCAGAGAACAGAUGAAUGGAUUCCUGAUUCUCACUUGGAAUUGUUCAGUUAAGGGAUUAUAUAUUCUGAUCCUUUUUGCUUCUCGGUGUGAUCAUUUGACUAGAUCUGACCAAUGAAAGAAAUUGUCAAUGGAGCCUCUGGUAAGUAUUCUUAAAGGAGAGGUAGCAGUACUUUCUUAUCCUCUUGAUUUACC